This 253-nucleotide ribosomal RNA is filed under the name uncultured bacterium. Its description in RNAcentral is "partial 16S ribosomal RNA". It matches the Rfam family "Bacterial small subunit ribosomal RNA", at positions 524 to 776 of the family's 1533-position model. The record is from RNAcentral.
GACAGAGGGGGCAAGCGUUGCUCGGAAUCACUGGGCGUAAAGGGCGCGUAGGCGGGAUGGCAAGUCGGUCGUGAAAUCCUUCGGCUCAACCGAAGAACGUCGGCCGAUACUGCCGUUCUUGAGGGAUGCAGAGGAGAUUGGAAUUCCCGGUGUAGCGGUGAAAUGUGUAGAGAUCGGGAGGAACACCGGUGGCGAAGGCGGGUCUCUGGGCAUCUCCUGACGCUGAGGCGCGAAAGCGUGGGUAGCAAACGGG